CAAAUUAGGUAAGCCCAAUGCCUUCCCUUCUCCAGGCUGAACAACCCCAACUCUCUCAGCUUGCCUUCAUAGGAAAGGUGCUCCAGUCACUUGAUUAUUUUUGUGGCCCUCC
Long non-coding RNA from Empidonax traillii (willow flycatcher), 112 nucleotides. RefSeq lists it as uncharacterized. The record is from RefSeq and is a predicted model, not a curated record. NCBI's taxonomy places the organism in Eukaryota, Metazoa, Chordata, Aves, Passeriformes, Tyrannidae. The transcript is spliced from 3 exons.